AGUUGUUAUGAAAAACAAUAACAACAAAAAAGAUCACCUUGGCUGCUCUACAGAGAAAGGAUUCUUGAAGGAGGAAAGUGGAAGCAUGUGAUCAAUUAAGAAGCUACUGCAGCCAUCAAGGCAACAGGUGACAGCAAUUCCCAUGGGAGGCAAGGCAGGGUGGGGGUGGUACAGGGGCGGGGUAAAGGAAAGAGGGAACUAUGGGUUUCCGUUUGGGUAAACAGGUUGUAGGGUGGUGCCAUUUACCAUCCUCUGUCAGAGGGAGAAUCGAGUUUGGGACCAAAUGGGAAAAUCUGCACGGAAUCAUGAUCCCAGCCCAGAGAGCUCCCAGGCCAAGGUGCAAUUGCAACCCACCCGGUCCUUUAAGGCGAUGUGCCAGGAGGGGAUUGAACCUGUGUCCCAGCACUCCAGAGAUGCCGCUGAUCCUGUUGCACCAUAGAGGAAACUCCAAAAGCUUUUCUUGGCCCAAGCUGCAGGCUCUCAGAAGCUUGACAAACCAGCAUCGCCAUCUGGAGGACAGCAUGAGAAUCUGGGUGAAUAUUAUCCAUUGA
RNAcentral lists this long non-coding RNA (551 nucleotides) under Sus scrofa (pig). RNAcentral's name for it is "lncRNA (ENSSSCG00035053210.1)". The record is from RNAcentral. Lineage: Eukaryota; Metazoa; Chordata; Mammalia; Artiodactyla; Suidae.